AGGGUGUAAACGCUGCAGACUUGGUGUUGGGGCCCUUUGGGGGCAUUCAGUGCCGGAGAGAAGUUGUUAAGUCUGCUACUUGGGAGUACGUCCGCAAGGAUGAAACUUAAAGGAAUUGGCGGGGGAGCACCGCAACGGGAGGAGCGUGCGGUUUAAUUGGAUUCAACACCGUAAACUCACCAGGGAAGACUGUUACAUGAAGGCCGAGAUGAAGACUCUGCUAGAUUUUCAGAGAGGAGGUGCAUGGCGUCAGUGACU
Molecule: ribosomal RNA, 258 nt
Filed under: uncultured archaeon
Lineage: Archaea
Description: partial 16S ribosomal RNA
Rfam family: Archaeal small subunit ribosomal RNA
Source: RNAcentral